This 381-nucleotide unclassified non-coding RNA is filed under the name uncultured bacterium. Its description in RNAcentral is "contains 16S-23S intergenic spacer region". The record is from RNAcentral.
UCCGAGUUGACCCCGGCAGUCUCCUAUGAGUCCCCGGCAUGACCCGCUGGCAACAUAGAACGAGGGUUGCGCUCGUUGCGGGACUUAACCCAACACCUCACGACACGAGCUGACGACAGCCAUGCAGCACCUGUGUGUAGGUCCCUUACGGGAAGGAAUCCAUCCCUGGAAGCCGUCCUACCAUGUCAAACGCUGGUAAGGUUCUGCGCGUUGCUUCGAAUUAAACCACAUGCUCCACCGCUUGUGCAGGCCCCCGUCAAUUUCUUUGAGUUUUAAUCUUGCGACCGUACUUCCCAGGCGGCGCAUUUAACGCGUUAGCUUCGCCACAAACGGGGUCGAUUCCGUUUACAGCAAAUGCGCACCGUUUACAGCCAAGACUAC